UUUAAUUAAAGACUAGAAUAAAAGAUUUUUCAUUUAAAUCAAUUUCUUUUAUUUAAAUAUUAAAAUUAUUUUAAUUGUAAAAAAACAAUUAUAAAAAAAAAAGACGAUAAGACCCUAUUAAACUUUACUUAAGUUUAGCUGGGGUAGCUAAUUAAUUAUUACCUUAAUUAUAUAAAAUUUAAAAAAUUAAACCCAAUAUAACUGAAGCUUGAUUAAGUUACUAUAGGGAUAACAGUAUAAUAAAAUUUUUAAGCUCUUAUAUAAAAUUUAGAUUAUAACCUCGAUGUUGACUUAAAUUACCUAAUUUACGCAAUAGUGAAUAAAGGAAGUCUGUUCGACUUUUAAAUAAUUACAUGAUUUGAGUUCAGAUCGGUGUAAGCCAGAUCGGUUUCUAUCUUUUUCACAAUUCUUCUAGUACGAAAGGACCUAAGAAAAUUAUAAUAUAUUUACUUGGCAGAAAAAUGCAAUAGAAUUAGAAUCUAAAUAAACUUACAAUAAUAUUUUCUUUAAACUUUAUUCUAAUUACAAUCAGA
Molecule: ribosomal RNA, 533 nt
Filed under: Acanthoctenus sp. SCC-2010
Lineage: Eukaryota; Metazoa; Arthropoda; Arachnida; Araneae; Ctenidae
Description: partial 16S ribosomal RNA
Rfam family: Archaeal large subunit ribosomal RNA (bases 98-400)
Source: RNAcentral